This 72-nucleotide transfer RNA is filed under the name Deltaproteobacteria bacterium CG11_big_fil_rev_8_21_14_0_20_45_16. RNAcentral's name for it is "tRNA-Thr". It matches the Rfam family "tRNA". Rfam says of the family: Transfer RNA (tRNA) molecules are approximately 80 nucleotides in length. Their secondary structure includes four short double-helical elements and three loops (D, anti-codon, and T loops). Further hydrogen bonds mediate the characteristic L-shaped molecular structure. tRNAs have two regions of fundamental functional importance: the anti-codon, which is responsible for specific mRNA codon recognition, and the 3' end, to which the tRNAs corresponding amino acid is attached (by aminoacyl-tRNA synthetases). tRNAs cope with the degeneracy of the genetic code in two manners: having more than one tRNA (with a specific anti-codon) for a particular amino acid; and 'wobble' base-pairing, i.e. permitting non-standard base-pairing at the 3rd anti-codon position. The record is from RNAcentral. Lineage: Bacteria; Deltaproteobacteria.
GCUGAAGUAGCUCAAUGGUAGAGCAACGCAUUCGUAAUGCGUAGGUUGUGGGUUCAAGUCCCGUCUUCAGCA